This is a small nucleolar RNA of Cervus elaphus (red deer), 176 nucleotides long. RefSeq annotates it as small nucleolar RNA SNORA67. The transcript has a single exon. The record is from RefSeq and is a predicted model, not a curated record. Lineage: Eukaryota; Metazoa; Chordata; Mammalia; Artiodactyla; Cervidae.
ACCCAAGAAGAUUCUUUCUCCAGGGAUAAAUCAUAAAAUUGAAAAUAACCUGUUCUCGUGGGGUAAAUCAUAUACCCCAGGAAUGUAGCCCCUUGGGAAAAUAUCUGGAACUCUUGAGGAUGUUGUCAUAGAUGAAUGAUGUGAUUGUUUUUGCUCUCCUUACAUUCUCAUUAUAC